AAGAUAGAGAGUAGUGCCUGCCCAGUGAAAAUUUAAACGGCCGCAGUACCCUGACUGUGCUAAGGUAGCAUAAUCACUUGUUUUUUAAUUGAAAGCUAGUAUGAAUGGCUUGACGAAAGCAAAGCUGUCUCUUUUAUAUUAUUUAAAAAUUAAUCUUUAGGUGAAGAAGCCUUACUGAUUUCAAAAGACGAAAAGACCCUAUCGAGCUUUAAAAGUAUAAUUAAAUUAAAUUUGUAGAAAAUAUAUGUUUUAAUUAACCUUUUUUAUUGGGGCGAUAAAAGAACAUAAAGAGCUUCUUUUUAUUUAUUAAAUUGAUGAAUUUAUUGAUCCAUAAAAUUAUGACUAAAAGAAAAAGCUACCGUAGGGAUAACAGCGUUAUUUUUUUAGAGAGCUCUAAUCGAAGAAAAAGUUUGCGACCUCGAUGUUGGAUUAGAGUAAUUUUUAAGUGCAGCAGCUUAAAAAAUGGGUCUGUUCGACCUUUAAA
Molecule: ribosomal RNA, 484 nt
Filed under: Placiphorella stimpsoni
Lineage: Eukaryota; Metazoa; Mollusca; Polyplacophora; Chitonida; Mopaliidae
Description: partial large subunit ribosomal RNA
Rfam family: Bacterial large subunit ribosomal RNA
Source: RNAcentral